Molecule: ribosomal RNA, 106 nt
Filed under: Bacillus sp. I2MY05A
Lineage: Bacteria; Bacillati; Bacillota; Bacilli; Caryophanales; Bacillaceae
Description: partial 16S ribosomal RNA
Source: RNAcentral
UGCGGCUGGAUCACCUCCUUUCUAAGGAUUUUAACGGAAUAUAAGACCUUGGGUCUUAUAAACAGAACGUUCCCUGUCUUGUUUAGUUUUGAAGGAACUUUGAUUC